GAUGAACGCUGGCGGCGUGCCUAAUACAUGCAAGUCGAGCGAACAGACGAGGAGCUUGCUCCUUUGACGUUAGCGGCGGACGGGUGAGUAACACGUGGGUAACCUACCUAUAAGACUGGGAUAACUUCGGGAAACCGGAGCUAAUACCGGAUAAUAUUUCGAACCGCAUGGUUCGAUAGUGAAAGAUGGCUCUGCUAUCACUUAUAGAUGGACCUGCGCCGUAUUAGCUAGUUGGUAAGGUAACGGCUUACCAAGGCAACGAUACGUAGCCGACCUGAGAGGGUGAUCGGCCACACUGGAACUGAGACACGGUCCAGACUCCUACGGGAGGCAGCAGUAGGGAAUCUUCCGCAAUGGGCGAAAGCCUGACGGAGCAACGCCGCGUGAGUGAUGAAGGUCUUCGGAUCGUAAAACGCUGUUAUUAGGGAAGAACAAACGUGUAAGUAACUGUGCACGUCUUGACGGUACCUAAUCAGAAAGCCACGGCUAACUACGU
This 496-nucleotide ribosomal RNA is filed under the name uncultured bacterium. RNAcentral describes it as "partial 16S ribosomal RNA". It matches the Rfam family "Bacterial small subunit ribosomal RNA", at positions 28 to 506 of the family's 1533-position model. The record is from RNAcentral.